Molecule: transfer RNA, 73 nt
Filed under: Ictidomys tridecemlineatus (thirteen-lined ground squirrel)
Lineage: Eukaryota; Metazoa; Chordata; Mammalia; Rodentia; Sciuridae
Description: Spermophilus tridecemlineatus (thirteen-lined ground squirrel) tRNA
Rfam family: tRNA
About the family: Transfer RNA (tRNA) molecules are approximately 80 nucleotides in length. Their secondary structure includes four short double-helical elements and three loops (D, anti-codon, and T loops).
Source: Rfam by way of RNAcentral
GGGGAUAUAGCUCAGUUGGUAGAGUGUUUACCCGGCAUGCACAAGGCCCUGGGUUCAAUCCCCAGCACUACCA